AAGGUUUAAGGCUGGGGUCUCCUGAGGCUCUAACCAGUCUUUCCCUGAGUUGGGAGGUGAGUUUCCAGAGAGCAGGGCCCCACACCUAGAUGACUGGACAGGAGAGGCCCCAAGUGGACAGAUGCAUCCCUCACCAGAGCUUAGAAAAGACUCCUAGUCACUCAUUUUGCUCAGUAAAUGGCUAUCCUUCUUGCCAGGAGAA
Molecule: non-coding RNA, 202 nt
Organism: Rattus norvegicus (Norway rat)
Lineage: Eukaryota; Metazoa; Chordata; Mammalia; Rodentia; Muridae
Product: Nuclear RNase P
Source: Ensembl